Long non-coding RNA from Hevea brasiliensis (rubber tree), 546 nucleotides. RefSeq lists it as uncharacterized. The transcript is spliced from 3 exons. Lineage: Eukaryota; Viridiplantae; Streptophyta; Magnoliopsida; Malpighiales; Euphorbiaceae. The record is from RefSeq and is a predicted model, not a curated record.
CGGCCACCGUUUGGACCGGGUCUUGUGUCCAAAAUCAUCUACUCGGCGAGAGCUUUCCAUAGACACCAAGAACGCCGAAAUCCAUCGAGCGGAUUGUCCGAUUUUAGCUCGGGAAGAUUUUAGCCCAUUUCGACUUUUGGGCUAGAUUUCUCGAAAACCGUGAAUCCCACGAGAAAACCGAGGCCACCAGCACGCUCCAUUCGUCGAGAGCUUCGCAACGACAUAAAUUUCGAAUUUUUCCGACACCGUUUUUCGGUAUCCUCGAUUCGCGGAAAUUCGACAGUUGACCGGGUCUGCAAAUUUCGGGCCAGACAGACCCGUUACCGGAAAAGUCUCCGAAUUGGACCGAGGUUUUGGCUAGCCCCCCAUUGUCAGACGUCCCGAGCGCGUUCCCGAAGUCGGAAUCGGCAAAGGUGAGCCGGGACAGCCUUCUUCCUCCGCCCAGCCGCCACAGUGAUUGUCGUCAAGUCUGUGAGUAAAAUAUUAAUUUUAAUUGUAAUUUCGAUAUUAUUAUAUGUUCAGCAUGCCCAUGCAUCACUUAUAUGC